CCUAAAGCACAAUUAAACAACAGGUCAGAACAAAGGACCACCAGUCUUUCCUAAUCUUUUAAUGGAUUUAGUAGACAAAUACACAAGCACUAACACAAUCACUGUUAAAAGAGUCUCUAAACAAAGACAUGUCCAUGUAUGCAGUCAGGUGAAGACAACGGCCUAACACGAGCCCUGCCAGAUUAAGCGAAAGUGCUUUUUCUAAAUUCAAUGAAGUGACUUCAACAAAAGUUGAUUACCCAAAACAAUCAGAAGGACACCCAUUUAAACAGAGCUGAUGUGGUGGUGGUGACUGUGCAAAUGGUUGUAUAAUGCGUGUAAAUUGUCAACUGUUGCAAUAAAAUAUUGAUUUAGGCGGGGGCUUGAAGAGAGAUUGAAAUGAAAUGCAACUGACCUGGAUGAUGUGGAAUAACCUCCCCACUGUACUCUGAACUGCCACAUGAGCUGCUACUGGAUGUAGAGCCAAUGCGCCCUGAGAAGAAACAGUCUUAUAAGGCAAAUUCUCAGUAUAACAUCAACUUUUAAUGGUGCAUUUACGAUAACGGUCAAGGCUACUUACUUCUGUAGUAGUCAUGAGUGGCAACAAGAGAACCACUAGCUGGGAUGGCUGCCAUUUUACAGACUUGUGUAAAUCACCACAUCCUCACCUUCUUUUGCCCUCGUGCUGAUGUUAUUAAAGCACCCUGCUCGAUUCAGUCGGAGGCUUUGGGGAGAAAACGCUAGGCGAUGGGGCCCAUUUGAAAAGGUUUGGAUGGAUAAGACCCUCCACGUCAGGAAAUAACUACCGUUACCGCAAUGCUGUCUAACAAAAACAACUCGUUCGCUGUCAUUUAUACAGAUACGUUUAAA
This is a long non-coding RNA of Rhinichthys klamathensis goyatoka, 849 nucleotides long. RefSeq lists it as uncharacterized. NCBI's taxonomy places the organism in Eukaryota, Metazoa, Chordata, Actinopteri, Cypriniformes, Leuciscidae. The record is from RefSeq and is a predicted model, not a curated record. The transcript is spliced from 2 exons.